AGAAAAGCUGAGGUUGUUCUCUCCCAUCUUCAUUCAAAGAUGAGAAAGAGAAGCUAGAAGGCGAUGGUCUCAGGUGCUUUAGGUCCGGUGAGAAGGGGAGCUGCAUCGGAGGCUAGGGUUUCGAGCAGGGGUUUACGUGCCGCCACCGCUUCAGCUCGGCCAGAUUUCCGAGGACUUGAAAGCUUACAGCGACAAUGAUUCUUAAUGGCCUCUUCCUAUGGCCAUCAAAGGCGCUUGUCCUUUGGGUCAGACCAGUGGUGAUGGUGUGGUGGUGGAUGACGGUUCCACCGUGACCGUGUGAUGGCGGUGGUAGGCUGGUACGACUGGGGUUCUAGGGUUGCUAUGGCAACCUCAGAUACUUGAAUUGGUGCUCCGGGGAAGUCGGCUAGGUUUCCAGCGUGAAUUCUGAGUGAUAUUGAAGAUUGAGUUUGUGUGACUUUUGUAUAAACACACGUUUCAAUAGAAGAUGAUGGGACUAAACCUGAAUCGAAACCAUCACAUAUAUCUCAAAGCUUGAAGGAGAGAAAGACAAAGGGAAGAUAGAUUUGUGGCAUAGAUAGGAGGUAGCAUGUACUUUUUCAGCAAAAUCGCAAAGGCGUAGGUGUAUAAUGCAUAUAUGCCAUGAACCUGAAUCUCGAGGUGUUAAUUGUGUACAUUGGGUCAUAUCAAGUACCAAAGUAGGCUUGAAAAUAAUGGGAACUUCUCUUCACUGAUGGAACAUUGUAUUGCAAGGUCAGUCAACAUACACGGAUGUUCAAAAUUGUUGGGCCAUUCACAAUUGCAGAUUACUCAAGGUAAAUCAGUACCCUCCUCCACCGGCCUUCAUUUCAUUAUUUUACAAACAUAGUGAUUCACAUAAAGGUUAGAUACAAUCAUGUGGUGUAUGAGGUUAUAAUGCAGGGUUUUAUCCGUCUUUCAUCACCAUCCAGAUGAUAAAAUUGCUGGUUCAACUGAUGUUGCCAUAUCAAGGAGAGAUAUUGGCAACCCAAAUCCAAGAAAAAGUACCUUUAUCUCUAUCCUAGCCAUAGAUACGCAGCAUGUUCGUUCUUCUAAAUCAGAUAUUAGAGAUGUAUAAGUAGAUAAUCAGGUCAAUUUGACCCCAUACGCUAAGAAAAGUAAAGGUCAAACUCCAGGUAUGGGGUCAAACAUUUUAGAUGACUGGAAGCCGAUGGUUCGAAGAUGAUAAAGAGCCUCCCAAAGGUGGUGGUGGAUGUGAAUGUGGUUAAGUGGAGCGACGACCGUGUUUAUGGAUUGACUAGGGUUCAUGUGAAGUUCCGACUUUUCUUCCGAUUGAAGUUCCGGAAAAAGAGGUGUCAUCAGCUGAACAUAACUCCUUUGGGUAGUGUUCUUUCUUCUUGAACAAUUAAGCAAUGUGCAUACGACUUCUAAACAAGAACAAUGCAGCAGCCCUAACAUACGAACCAGAGUCUACAAAAUGUCACACACUGGUAUGUUUCUUCUUUACUUAUAGCAUUUUUAUUUCAGUUGUCUUCUUUAUUGUUGCCUCUCAUACGACAGAAGUGGUAGAAGCAUACUCUUUUUGUUUAUAAUCUGUGUAAAAAAUCAAUUGUAAUUAUCUAAUGUGUUUUUUGUAUAACACUGGUGUGGGACACUUAUUAGAAACUUCUUUUAUUAUA
Long non-coding RNA from Helianthus annuus (common sunflower), 1637 nucleotides. RefSeq lists it as uncharacterized. Lineage: Eukaryota; Viridiplantae; Streptophyta; Magnoliopsida; Asterales; Asteraceae. The transcript has 6 exons. The record is from RefSeq and is a predicted model, not a curated record.